This is a long non-coding RNA of Corvus hawaiiensis (hawaiian crow), 4038 nucleotides long. RefSeq lists it as uncharacterized. Lineage: Eukaryota; Metazoa; Chordata; Aves; Passeriformes; Corvidae. The transcript is spliced from 3 exons. The record is from RefSeq and is a predicted model, not a curated record.
AGCAGCCCCUGUGCCACGGGAGCCGGCCUCGGAGGAGCCACCAGAGCUGUUCCUUGGGGUGCUGGAGGAGGAUUGCUGGCCUCAGCCUGGACUCCGUCCUGCAUCCCAGGCUCCCCAGCCCUCUUGGGAUGCAGGUGAGGGGUGCCAAGCUGCUUUGGGGUGAGGCCAGCACAAGCCCACUCCUUGCAUUGCACACCCUUGAAAGAGUGAGCCUGGUUCUGCACCACAUCUGCUGUGGAGAGCCGUGGUGACUGCGCUGGUGGGCUCAACCCUGGGGAAUCUGCUGCUUUGGUUUUGUCCCUGACUAUCCUGGGAGAUGGGCAACAGCUUCUGGGUGCAGGCACUGCCAGCAGCACAGGGGAGGAGGAAGAAGAGGAAAAAGAUGCUGAGGAAUGGCCACGACAGCAAGGGCUGCCCCAGGCACAAUGCUCUUCAAGGUUUCUCAAGAGGCCUCAGCUGCUCUUUCAAGGCACAAGCACCCCAGAGCCAGGGCGGCACGGAGCUGGUCCCAGCAGAGCCCACACACUGGGGUUGCUUGGUGUGACCACAGCCACGCUCUGGUUUCUUCAUUUGCAUGGCUUUACUCCCACGAGGCCAAUAUCCCAUCCAGGACGGCACAGACAAGCUGCAAAGCCCUGCUCAGCAGUGGUGACUCACUCGAGUGAGAUGGGAAACUCAUUGCUCCUGCCAGCCCAGAUGCAAAUUGUUACCAGGCAGGGACCAGCAGGGAAGAUGUUCCUGUGGAGGGAAGGAAGCUGGAGGAGGACUCCACUCGGCUGGCUUGUCACUGCCCUUCAUUCGUCCCCAUCCUUACACUGCACAGUGAAGGUAUGUCAUCCUCUUUGUCACUGUGCACUGCUUGUGUCACCCAGCCAGUAUCAAGAACUUCUCUCUGCCAAUGUGCUUCUUAGCCACAGUCCUAGGUGUGCAUCCUGCUGGGCUUGGGGUCUCUGUCACCUCAGUACCCUGGUGUGGGAAGAGCUGUAGGGCACUGUUCUGGCAUGUGGGGCGGGUGCUGGAGUCCCCUUCCCACCACAUUCCCCCAGCACCUCCAUGCCUCAGGUGAGCAGGCCUUGCUGUUAUUGCUUUUACAUCCUUCAGUCACUGUAAUUUGCUCUAGUGAACCCCUAAAACCCCAGUGCUGAGCUGCUCUUGAGCUGGGAGCACUGGAAGUACAACAGUGCAUCAAGGGCUCUCCCUGGGAACCAUGCCACAGCCUCAACUUCCCCACACUCUUAAAUUAACUAUAGUUGAAGCAGUCACAAGUCUUAAAUCCAGUCUCCUUGCCUGUAAUGUGACCUCUUACCUUCCUCUGAUCCCCCCAAUUAAAAGUGCUUGUUUUUGCUGUGGACAUCCACUCGUGUCUAAUUAGUGGAUUGUUUCUGUCAAGGACAGUAGCAGCCUCGACAGUGAGCCCUAAUUUAAGUAGUUUGCAUUUGUCUGCAGCAUUGGUGCGUUCAUAUACUCCUGCUCCUAAUUAACUGCAUCUGGAUAUCUGCAGAGGGAGCUCUCAUGAUCUCUCCAUGGCUCUAAUUAAAAUGGCCUGGAUGUCCAUGACAUUGGUGCCUGUCAAGCCUGUCACCAGGAGGUGAUGCCCACCUUGGAAGUGGCUGAAGAACGUGUAGGAGUCGUUGUUCCUGAGAAAGGCCUCCACAUCCAAGCCCUCCUGAAGCGCCUCAGCCACCAGCCCUGGGCUGCAGAAGGCUCCUGCUGCCUCCGUUGGCCCGUCCUGCCCGUCUGUUCCCCCGCUGAGGAAGAGGAUCUCACACCUCCCUUGGGGGCUGCUGGCUCCUGUGCAGGCCUGAGCCCGGUGCAGCCCCAGCGCCACACGCAGGGCCAGCUCCUGGUUUCUCCCUCCCUUGCCGGUUCCUUGGAGCUGGACUGUGGUUUCUCCACCGGCCAGGAUGCAGACUGGUCUGUCAGGCCCUAAUCCUCGCAGGGCCUUUAGAAACUCAUCAAGCUCCAAACCUGGGAUCUGUAGCUCUGCUGCCAGCUGCAGGAGAUUCCCCCUCAGCUCGUCACUCAGGGGCCCGUCUCCGAGGCCGGCGAAGCCCAGGCAGACCAGCUGGAUCAGCUGGCAGUACAGCGUGGCAACACGGCCGACUUCCCCAUGGACUGCUGCACUCAGGACCAGAGCUGCAUAGCCCAGGCCCUCGGCCUGGUGUUUGGCCUCUUCCAAAGCCAGUGUGUUUGACCCAAGGAUGAUGUUGGAAACGUGGGAGUAGUUUUCUGGAGCAGUGGGCUUGGUGGGAGAGCUGGAGAGGACCGUUUCCACUGACUUGGGCAGGUUGUGCAGCAGGUUGUAUUUGGUGAGUAUCUGAAGGCAGUCUUGGACACUGUGGGAGCUGGCAGCAGUGGGCCCACUUGCUAUGAUGUCCAGGGGGUCACCUAUCACGUCAGACAGGAUGAGACUCACCACCUGUGGAAAGAAAUGCCCACAGAUUAUUGCAGGAGGCAAAGACAGGUGACCACACAAGAGCCCUGGCAUAAGCACUGAUCUGAGUGCCACCCCCACAUCAAAGCAGAUGGAAACAGGGUAGGUUUGUGACUAUUUUUAUUUUAUGGACCUGUGAGUGUCACUUUGCCCUUCUCAAGCCCACAUAUUUGCAGUCCCCUUUGAAGUUGGACCAUCAUGUUGGAAGAUGUAGCCUGUGACACUGCACUUGUCAGGCCCAACCCAGUGUGGAUUCGGCAAUGGCACACGCUGAGAACAGCCCCCAGGGGAGCCAAGGGUCAGAGUCAGCCUUGAAAGUGCUGUGCUGAAGCACCAACACUGGGAAGUGCCUGCUGGGUGUGGGCUGUGGUCUGCAGAGAGUGGUGUGAUGGGAUGGCUGGUGUUUCCCAAGUCUGAAUUCCCACUCUUCCAUCUCUGUCUCCCUGAGAGUUUCGGUCCUUAGUGAAACCUCAGCCAGAGGGCCCCAAAACAGUGUGCAGAGUUCACUCAGUAUAGAGAAAAACCUUGCAAGUUGAUUAAACCUCUAUUUUGAGGGUAGAUGGGUGAUCUCUGGGCAAGCAGGGGCUUUCCCUUGGUUACCCGUGCAGGAUGUGCCAGCUGGGCCAGCCCUCCACCCUUCAGCACGGACAGAGUCUUCCGGACAAUGUUCAGCUCCUGUAUGGCAGCUCCUCGGGAAGCCAACAGCUUUGUGAGUUUCUCCUUCUCUUCAAGGAGCAUGGGAGGGAUGGGAGCAGGCAGUAGGGCUGAUCCACCCCCUAGGAUGCAGAAGAGAUGGUAAGGAUGUCAGGAUAGAAGGAAAAGGAGGACAAAGGAGAGCAAGGCUUGAACCUUUUCUCUUCCCUCACCAGUGUCUGGAGGGAAGGCAGAGGUGAUUGGGGACCUAAGCUAACAUCUCUGGAGAAUUCAGUCAUCUUCACCAAUGGGUUUUAUUUACUGCUGUCCUGCACUCUCUGCAGCCAGCUACACUUCACCCAGGCAGUGUGAGCCUGGCUGGAUGGGGGCACCACAAGCCUGCAGUGUUGUGGGGAUGACAGAAGAGGGACAGCAACUACCCUCACCUCUGCACUGGGCUACAAGUGGGUCCUCACACUGAUAUUCAAUGACUGCCUGGGUGGGUGAGCAGGGAGCACGGCCUCCACAGCUCACACUGCAGUCAGUGCUGGGCACAUGGGGACACUGCCUGCUUUGGUGGCUCCAUUUAUUCAGGAUAGUGUGUAAAAACACUGGCUAGGGAUGCAGCAAGAUUGGAAAGUGCUGAACCGCAUUCAUCUAGGCCUGGGAGGAAAGAAAAGGGGGGACAGUAAUGCAAAGGACAAAGCACACCCAGAGUCCAGGGUGAUAGCUUCACUGAUGGGAAUUCUGUCUGAUACAAGCAGGCAUUGGAAAUGUGGAAAAGAAGGCAAGGUUCUAAUGGAAAAGUGGAAUGGAUGGAAAACACAGAGGAGAAAAGAGCAAGGUCUGUGCAGAGAGUGAACACGCACAGAAGUACAGCUGAAAGCUACUGUCAAAAUGCAAAGGCUGCUCAGAGGUUUGAGACAAAUCAGCAUCAAUAAAACAUGAUGAGCAAGAAAAACAAAUGCAAA